AUACGGAGGAUCCGAGCGUUAUCCGGAUUUAUUGGGUUUAAAGGGUGCGUAGGCGGCCUUUUAAGUCAGCGGUGAAAGUCUGUGGCUCAACCAUAGAAUUGCCGUUGAAACUGGGGGGCUUGAGUAUGUUUGAGGCAGGCGGAAUGCGUGGUGUAGCGGUGAAAUGCUUAGAUAUCACGCAGAACCCCGAUUGCGAAGGCGCCCUGCCAAGCCAUGACUGACGCUGAUGCACGAAAGCGUGGGGAUCAAACAGGAUUAGAUACCCUGGUAGUCCACGCAGUAAACGAUGAUCACUAGCUGUUUGCGAUACACUGUAAGCGGCACAGCGAAAGCGUUAAGUGAUCCACCUGGGGAGUACGCCGGCAACGGUGAAACUCAAAGGAAUUGGCGGGG
Molecule: ribosomal RNA, 393 nt
Filed under: uncultured bacterium
Lineage: Bacteria
Description: partial 16S ribosomal RNA
Rfam family: Bacterial small subunit ribosomal RNA
Source: RNAcentral